This 1279-nucleotide long non-coding RNA is filed under the name Pogona vitticeps (central bearded dragon). RNAcentral's name for it is "lncRNA (ENSPVIG00000015632.1)". Lineage: Eukaryota; Metazoa; Chordata; Lepidosauria; Squamata; Agamidae. The record is from RNAcentral.
CAAUUUUAUUUAGAAAUGCAAACAUCACUAAUCAUGCAUACAGGUUGACAUUUGACAUUUGUUAAUUCUCUGUCUUUUCUGUUUGUUGCAUAGGAACAUUUUCUCAAUACAUAAAUCUAUGCGGUACAAAAACAUGUUUAAAAAAGUUACAGCAGAGCAAGUAGAGAUCAAAAUAUGACUGUACAACUGCAAUACUUUGAUGUAGUGAUUUCUUUUCAAAAGUCCAAAAAAGUGACCCAUGAGAGCAAUGAAGUGCUGUCAAGAGAACAGAUGAGGGGGAAUGGUGACAAAAGCAGUAAUCUUUUACCCCAAAAUGAAGAUCUGUAUGUAAACAUGCAUAAAAUUCACAUACUUCCAUUCAUGUACUCACACAGAAACGGAAUUAUUGCAAGAAGGAAGACUGUAGUUAAGACACCUUUGGAAUGUAGAGAGGAUUCUACCUGUUGUAAACAGCAUUUGGGGGAUUAUGGAGUUUGUUUUACAGUGCUACAGUCAACUGCCUUCAUAUUUACAGUAAUAAAAAAUGUAGAACAUGAUACAAAGAAAAGCACCUGAAUGUGUAAUGUACAUCAUCAGAACCACCCAAGCCAACACUAAUUAAUUCUCCCCCUCUCUUUUUGUUUUUCAAACUCCCAACAUUCACGUUGGCUCCUUCCCACUCCAUCCACCCCCACACAAUUUAGAAAACUGUCUAAAGCCAUUUCUUGUUAAAGCAUAGACCCACUGGUUAUGAUUACUACAGCCACUGGCCUGGGAUGCAGGCACGCCUUAAAAUAUGCUCUGGUCAGUUCACUGGAACUCAGAGUUUAUUUGAAAGACGCCUCAGUACCAGUAUUGCAUGCGGAAGGUUACUUAUGGACAAAAAUCUCACUUCUUAGGUCAAGCGGUUCCUUUUUGAAAUGGUCACAGCAACUCCUUGCUCGCAGAUAGCCACUGCAAGAUACAGAUAGAGUUGUCAGGUCCCAGUGUGGAUAAAGGAGAUGCUAGCUGACCACAAAAACUGUGCUAGCCAAGGAAACAGGAAGCAUUGUCUGGGAACCACUGACACACUUGGUGGGGGAAAGGAGGACAUUCUCCUAUUUAUGUCCAGUCAGACAGUACACAAGGCUGAGGGCGAGGGAGAAGAUCAAAGUACUGUCCAGCUAAAAUACCAGGUUUGUAACACUUUCUAGAUGCAGGUUUUAUGGGGUUUUUAGUUGUGAUUUUGUUUCAUACUUACUGUCCAUAUGCUCUAGCUAUAUGGAAUAAAGUAUGGACGUGUUCUGCUUUUAAGCGGUGU